GUUUUGAUAGGAUUAGGAUUCAAAUCGAUCAGACAGAACCCAGCAAGAAUGAAUACCAAAAUUGUCUUUCCAAAGCUGAAACCCUAAAAACCAUAAUUGGGAUAUAUCUGAUCAUUGACCUGCUUGAAUCAAAAAUUUGGAGAGCCUCAGUUUGGAUUUCGAUCAAAGUAAUCCUUGCUUCGGUCUUCGAUUCCACCUUGAACAACAAGAGGAAUAUGAAAUCAACAAUGAAAAACACAAAUGGAAACCGAACAAAGCAGAACAAAGAAGCUCAAAUACCUCAGCCCGAAAUCGUCCCGAAAUCCUUGCUCUGUUCUGGUCUCGAAAUCCUUGAGAACGAAGACAUUGAAAAACACUAAAGAAACUCAAGAGAUCGGAGAGAUCGAUGGAAAAAGAGAGAGCAAAGAGGUAGAGAAAGAGACAAAGAACAGAAAGCACAAAAAGAAUCAGAGAACAGAAGAAGAAGAAGAAGAAGAAGAAGAGAGAUCGAAGCAGCUUUCGAGAGAGAUUGAGAGAGAGAAUUGAAGAGUGGAGAUUGGCUCCAAGAAGGUCCUAGAAAAAGUGAAGAGAGAAGAAAAAAGCCAAGCCCAAGGAGAGAAGAAAAAGCCCAAAGUGAGAAGAAAAAGUCCAGGCCUAACUGACACUGUUCACGGAAACAGUGCCGCGCCAGGCGCUAUAAUAAUAUAGUAAAUUAGGCAUGAGUUAGCUAGGAAUAUGUACAUAAAGAUGCAAUGCAUAUUGCAAGUGAGUAUAGAUAAUAUGUAAAUUAUAUCAUUCUUUUUUUACAUACAAUUAAUAUAAUUAACAAAUAUUCAUCAUCAGUGACCUGGUUGUAUAGAAAAUUUGUAUACUACUAUUGAGAUAUCAAUCCCACAUCGGGAAUAUGAGACAUUGUUUGUGGGUUUAUAAGGGUUUGGGCCACUCAAUCCAUUGCCAAUUGGUUUUGGAUGUGAACCUCAUACUACUUUAUCAUGAUAUCAGAGCGGGUUACCUACUUCCACGUGUGAAGCCUAAAGACCACACGAACUCCACGUCACUCAAAUAAACCCUUAUCUGUGGGUUUAUUAGGGUUUCGGUCAGGAAUAUAGGACAUUGUAUGUGGGUUUAUAAGUAACCAAUUCCAAGUUUCGAACAAGCAACCAAGUUUCGAACAAGCAAAAGUAUACAUGCAGUAGAUUAUGAUAAAUUGGUAAUCAUAAUAUAAUACGGACAUACAUAGGGUUUUGGAUCAUGAAGGAAUUAGAAACCAUAGGCAAACCUGGGGCUGCUUCUUGCCUGAGGGUAUAUUCUUGGAAGGAUGGAAAAUGUUUAGUAUAGGAUUAAAAAUGUUUUAGUAAUAGUAGGUGAAAUUCUACUUAGGCAGAAUAGUGUGAAGCUAAGUGCUUAGUGUCAUUGAUAGAUGCUACUUAAGUUAAUCAAUCUAGCAUGCCUUUCCAGAU
This 1439-nucleotide long non-coding RNA is filed under the name Fragaria vesca (wild strawberry). RNAcentral describes it as "long non-coding RNA (FVES_LNC004563)". Lineage: Eukaryota; Viridiplantae; Streptophyta; Magnoliopsida; Rosales; Rosaceae. The record is from RNAcentral.